CUAACUGCGUGCAGACGUGUGAACUGCAGGACACAUGAACACCGACGUUUUGAACGCAUAUGGCGACCUGAAAUAAAUUUCAGGCCAUGUCUGGCUGAGGGUCGGAUAUGAAACAACAACCAAAGUUGCCCAAGUAAGGGGAAGUGAAGACGCAAGUGCUUGGUUCCCUGGGUACUAAUCGCCGGGUCUGUGCUGAACAGGCUUGGUUAGAAUGGAAUGGGGUGAUGUCCUCAUGAAACGGAUUUGUAAUAAAUUCCGUGAGGCACAACACUUUCAUUUGUGAAUAAAAGACUGUCUGACAGUCUAUUCUCUCAUAGUUGCGACCUCAGAGCAGGCAAGAUUACCCGCUAAAUUUAAGC
This 359-nucleotide unclassified non-coding RNA is filed under the name plant metagenome. Its description in RNAcentral is "partial contains internal transcribed spacer 2 and large subunit ribosomal RNA". The stretch from base 1 to 104 matches the Rfam family "5.8S ribosomal RNA", at positions 49 to 154 of the family's 154-position model. The record is from RNAcentral.